Long non-coding RNA from Cotesia glomerata, 1355 nucleotides. RefSeq lists it as uncharacterized. The transcript has 3 exons. The record is from RefSeq and is a predicted model, not a curated record. NCBI's taxonomy places the organism in Eukaryota, Metazoa, Arthropoda, Insecta, Hymenoptera, Braconidae.
AAGGUGGGUGGUUGGAACUCGUCGAGAGAAGGUCGAUUCGUCGCUGCCUAUUACAUGACACCGUUACGCAAGGGGCUCUCUCAAUAAUAUAACCUACACCAGCAUAACCACCAGAGUUGAGUCCAGAGACCAGAUACGUGUAUUACACACAAUUACUAUAUACUACAUACUACACGUAAAAGCUUACUCAUAUACAAUUAAAUUCGCCCGUUAAAUUGCGCAAUAACUUCACCAAUAUAAACCGAUCGCUAUCCAUAUUAAGGAAUCAUAAUAAUUGUGACAGUCAGCACUACAAGGAAGAGCCAAUACAACAUCUACGUCGAAUUUAGUUGUUAAUAUUGAUGUUCUAUAAGUGACUGUGCACAAUUAAAUAAAUAAAAGUGACUAGUCAUGAAGCUCUGCGAAUUGGUAUUGCUUAUAUCACCAUCGGAACAGAUAUAAGUAUAAUAGCAAUAGCAAUAACAACAAUAAUGUAUAAUGUAAUAUUAUAAUAAGUAUAUGUAUAAGUUGUUUAUUUACAGAGACUUGAGAACCUCUGUCGCCUAUGAGGGGAUCCUAUGGCGCCGUGGGUUGAGACCAUACCAUCUACAUGUACAUAUAAAUGUAUGUAUGUAUGUAUGUAUGUAUGUAUGUAUGUAUCUAUUACUGAUACCGAGUCUGAGUAAUAUAACAUAAGAGCGUAAAAGCUACUGCUACGUAGAUAUUGGGUGUGUGUGCCGACUGGAGGCUUGUCAUGUGCGUAUACACACCAAACACCUUCACGGUGUUGUAUAGUAUCCAUCCUUCCAGUCACGCACAUCUGUUCGCUCCAAGUAUGAGUACAUACUGUGACACUAGGGAAGAAUUAGAAUUAAAAUUCGGUCCAGCAGAAGAGCAGAGACGAAGGAGACACAGAUAGUAGGCUUGAUAUUAUUGAGAUGAACAAUAGCUGAUAGGGAAAUUGAGAAUUGAGAACCGUGGCGAUGUUUGCGAGGCGAUUAGUAUAGCUGUCGCUUGUAUGUACUGUCUGACCCGCGCACAUCAGAUGUCAGCUGUCGUACUAUACACACCACACAUUGUAACGCACACAGUAACAGUGACGUUUAGUUUCGCGACCGAAAGAAUCAGCAAAUAACGGCCUUGUGCAUCGGAAUGGCAUCCUAUCAGCUCUCCUACUCCUACUCUAUAUCUUUACUUAAACCGCUGCUGUGUGCUGUGUGUGCUGCUAUUCUCAUACUUUCCUGCUCUACGUCUUUGUUUUCAGUUACUUUGACUUUGCUUUGCUAAUUAUUACAGUUACGUACUCCAGUGACAAUGCUGUCUUUAUUGUCAUUGGUAAUAAUGAUUAUUCUAAUAAACAAUUACUCUUGUUUUUA